RNAcentral lists this transfer-messenger RNA (360 nucleotides) under Phyllobacterium sp. YR531. RNAcentral's name for it is "Alphaproteobacteria transfer-messenger RNA". It matches the Rfam family "Alphaproteobacteria transfer-messenger RNA". Rfam says of the family: Bacterial tmRNA, also known as 10Sa RNA or SsrA, is named for its dual tRNA and mRNA-like properties. Its role is to liberate the mRNA from a stalled ribosome. To accomplish this part of the tmRNA is used as a reading frame that ends in a translation stop signal. Lineage: Bacteria; Pseudomonadati; Pseudomonadota; Alphaproteobacteria; Hyphomicrobiales; Phyllobacteriaceae. The record is from Rfam by way of RNAcentral.
GCUGUUGAUUUCGAAACAUCAAAUGCUUAUGUUCCCCCUGCCGUCGCAAGACGGCUAUGGUGAUAAACGGACGAUGAAAUAAGCCCAUUGGACCCGGGGGCGGUACCCGGCGCCUCCACCACAAUGCAGCAAACCAAGCGCUGCCUUGUGGCGGGGGCGAAAUAGGAUCGACAAGGGUGUAAAGAUCGAACUUUUGCCCGGCAUUGUACCACCGUUAUCGGGCUAAAUCUGUAGUUGCAAACGACAACUAUGCGGAAGCACGUCUCGCUGCUUAAUGCAGUGCGAUAGCUUCAAAUCAAGUCCUAGGGGUUCGCACUUCUAGGCGGGGUUCGGAGGUACCUGGCAACAGAAACCUCCACU